UACGAAGGGGGCUAGCAUUGCUCGGAAUCACUGGGCGUAAAGGGUGCGUAGGCGGGUCUUUAAGUCAGGGGUGAAAUCCUGGAGCUCAACUCCAGAACUGCCUUUGAUACUGAGGAUCUUGAGUUCGGGAGAGGUAAGUGGAACUGCGAGUGUAGAGGUGAAAUUCGUAGAUAUCAGGAGGAACACCAACGGCGAAGGCAGCUCUCUGGGACGGUACUGACGCUGAGACGCGAAAGCGUGGGGAGCAAACAGG
RNAcentral lists this ribosomal RNA (253 nucleotides) under uncultured prokaryote. Its description in RNAcentral is "partial 16S ribosomal RNA". It matches the Rfam family "Bacterial small subunit ribosomal RNA", at positions 524 to 776 of the family's 1533-position model. The record is from RNAcentral.